Bubalus bubalis (water buffalo) is the source of this 324-nucleotide long non-coding RNA. RefSeq lists it as uncharacterized. The transcript has 3 exons. The record is from RefSeq and is a predicted model, not a curated record. NCBI's taxonomy places the organism in Eukaryota, Metazoa, Chordata, Mammalia, Artiodactyla, Bovidae.
GAAUGCCGGCAGAGGACAUCAGGCACCCAGAAAAGCAACCCAACUCUUCGAAAGGAGGUUUAAAGAAAGAAAUAAAUUUACACUGAAAUUUGAAGAUUGGAAUAGAGCAAGAAAACAAGGAAGCCAAGAAUAGACGUAACAAGACAAACCCUAUUUCCUUGCUGUGGAACAGUGACAGGCACCAGCUGAUUUAUGUUCUUGAGCUCUGACAACCACACAAAGAGAAACUAAUGGCUGACAGGUCAAUUGACAAGGUAAUCCAACAGACCUGACUCAUUGGAAAAGACCCUGAUGCUGGGCAAGAUUGAAGGCAGGAGGAGAAGG